This 665-nucleotide long non-coding RNA is filed under the name Penaeus japonicus. RNAcentral's name for it is "uncharacterized LOC122243715". Lineage: Eukaryota; Metazoa; Arthropoda; Malacostraca; Decapoda; Penaeidae. The record is from RNAcentral.
UACAGCGAUGGUGAUUUCGUUUCAUUUCCAUACAGCUAAAUGGUAAAUGGCCUUUUAAACUUUUUAAUCAUCUCCCUGAGAGUGACAUGACAAAUGACAUGACACUGACAUCACCGGUCGUUGCAUUACAUACCAGACUCUCCAAGCCUUUCACAAUUUGUAGAGAAUCGAACAGUGAUAUCGCAAGGAAUAUCAUUGUAUUGUAGUGACCUGGAAAACGAGUUGUCUUUGAGGGGAUACCAAGCUAUCCAUGGCAGGGCUGGACGUCUGCAGAGAUCCUUGCCGGAAGAUCACCUGCAUGGUGUUGUGCCCAGGCUCCUACUGAUGUUCUAUAUGGAGAGGGAUAGUUCUAAGUCUACGCGAGAAAAGAAUUGUGGAACCUUAAAUAACUGUAGAGAACCAAAAGGGUCCGACAUCUGUGCAUACUGACAGAGGAGUGCGGUCUGGCACUGUGGAAUCAAACCUUAUGAUCUGUACUCUACCAAUGGUGAUGGUAGUAAAAACAGAAAAAAUAAAGUAAAUAAGUGAGGAUGAUGGAAGGAGAUAUCCAGAGUGCAGUGACAGAUAGAUAUCCCUACGAGCCACCGACCAUCCACUCGACUUGUCCUUUCUCACAAGCGGAGACCCAGGAAAUGCUGGUCAAAGGCCUCAAAUCAAGCUAAGGA